RNAcentral lists this ribosomal RNA (421 nucleotides) under Adenomera andreae group sp. ABGD cluster 3. Its description in RNAcentral is "partial large subunit ribosomal RNA". It matches the Rfam family "Bacterial large subunit ribosomal RNA", at positions 1835 to 2457 of the family's 2925-position model. Lineage: Eukaryota; Metazoa; Chordata; Amphibia; Anura; Leptodactylidae. The record is from RNAcentral.
UUUGCUUAAAAUAAAAGGUCCAGCCUGCCCAGUGACACUGUUCAACGGCCGCGGUAUCCUAACCGUGCGAAGGUAGCGUAAUCACUUGUUCUUUAAAUGAGGACUAGUAUGAAAGGCACCACGAGAGUCAUACUGUCUCCUCUUUCCAAUCAGUUAAACUAAUCUCCCCGUGAAGAAGCGGGGAUAACUUUAUAAGACGAGAAGACCCUAUGGAGCUUUAAACGAAUAACACUUGCCCACCUCUCCUUUUAAUUUCAGAAAAAUCUAUUACCUUGGCAUCAUACUUAUAAGUUUUUGAUUGGGGUGAUCACGGAACAAAAAAUAACCUCCGCAAUGAAAGACUCUCAUAACUAAGUCAAGAACCACAACUCUACACAUCAACAAAUUGACACCAAUUGACCCAAUUUAUUGAUCAAUGGAC